RNAcentral lists this ribosomal RNA (406 nucleotides) under uncultured bacterium. RNAcentral describes it as "partial 16S ribosomal RNA". It matches the Rfam family "Bacterial small subunit ribosomal RNA", at positions 29 to 526 of the family's 1533-position model. The record is from RNAcentral.
AUUGAACGCUGGCGGCAGGCCUAACACAUGCAAGUCGAACGAGUGGCGGACGGGUGAGUAAUAACUGGGAACCUGCCUGAUGGAGGGGGAUGACUACUGGAAACGGUAGCUGAUACCGCAUACCAUCGGAUGUGCCCAUAUGGGAUUAGCUAGUAGGUGGGGUAAAGGCUCACCUAGGCGACGAUCCCUAGCUGGUCUGAGAGGAUGACCAGCCACACUGGAACUGAGACACGGGCCAGAGUCCUACGGGAGUCAGGAGUGGGGAAUGUUGCACAAUGGGCGCAAGCCGGAUGCAGCAUGGCCGCGUGUAGGAAGAAGGCCUACGGGUUGCAAAUUACUUUCAGCGGGGAGGCGGUACCCGCAGAAGAAGCACCGGCUAACUCCGUGCCAGCAGCCGCGGUAAUAC